AAAAAAAAGUCAAUUAAAUAACAGUGAAUUCGUGUUUCACGCGAUUGAAAAAAAAAAAUAAUAAUAAAAAAAAAUACGCGUCUGGUUUUGGCACGUUUGUGCUCAAAUAUGCGAAUGAAUUAUGGCCGUAGUUGUUGGAAAAAAAAAUAUAUUGUAAUAUACUUGCUAGCAUUUAGUUCUAAACACGGUAUUCGUCGAUAUUCAUAAAAGUUUUAUUAGCC
Non-coding RNA from Cinara cedri, 221 nucleotides. NCBI's taxonomy places the organism in Eukaryota, Metazoa, Arthropoda, Insecta, Hemiptera, Aphididae. The record is from the annotation of a GenBank genome assembly.